Long non-coding RNA from Zea mays, 961 nucleotides. RefSeq lists it as uncharacterized. Lineage: Eukaryota; Viridiplantae; Streptophyta; Magnoliopsida; Poales; Poaceae. The record is from RefSeq and is a predicted model, not a curated record. The transcript has 4 exons.
GGUCACUAAUCUGGCUGCUAUUACUAGACUAAAGAAUGUAGACGUGUAGCGGGUUUAAAAAUCCAAGACAUUUUGGCUGAUAAAUGUUAGGGCCAAUCUGUUGUGGAUGUGGUUCUGUUAUUAGCCUCAUGUUUGCUUGAAAUUGUCUAUUUUGCUUAAUAGCCAUCCAUGUUGUCUAUUUUGCUUAAUCCCCGCCGUCAUGUCCCUCCAUUCCCUGAUCUAUCAAAACAAAUGUAGAAGAAGAGAAGGGGCCUGCUCCUGCCGCCGGAUCUGCUUGGCUUUGGAAAAGCUAGAUGAAAAUAAGGAGAGAAGGGAGGGAGGAGGUCGUGGUCUCCUUGAGUGGAGAUAUGUAUUGUGUCUUGACCGGUCAAGAAACACCUGUCAAUAUACAUCGGCACCACAUGGGCUACGACUGCUAUCGAAUCCUUGAAGCCAAAGCUAAAGAGAAUGCUCCAUCACCAGCUUCCCCCUUGCAAGCCGACCUAUGUGUCCAGCUGAGUUGAAGAUAAUGCAAAAAUUUGAAGGUGACUAAAAAAUCUGAAGACAGGGUGUGGACAGGAAUUGCAUUCAGAAAAUUUAUAACUAAAACCGCUCGCUUAGCUGUAUCGUCAAAUGCAGAAUAAUUACAAGCUAAUCUAAUUGAUGAUUUUUAUCAUUUCGGGUUUGGGAAAAGGUAAAUAUGUUGGAUUUAAGCAUAAAUAAAUUUUCUUACUUUCAACAUCGUCCAGUACUAGAAAACCUUGGAUUUAUCAUAUUUUUAAGAUGAAGGAAAUCAUCAUUGACAAGUUUUAUAUAUCAGCAUUGGUGGUAGCUUAAACCCUGUACAACAUUGUUUAGAAUAAUAUCAGUUGAGUUAUGGUAAUUAGAUCAAAUAUGAUUGUGUGCCGUCGCAACACACAGGCGUUGUACUAUGAUACUUGCUAUUGGGAGUAUGAUUUUCCAUGCCACCUUGCAACUUCUA